GAAGACCCUUCCCUGAUCCUUACCAUGCCUCAUUACAUACUGCAGAGAGCAGCCUUGCUACUACUGAGCCAAGCAGACCUGCUCUACCACCACUUGGACUAUUUGUAGUCCGAGGGUUCCCACACUUGGCACAGUCUGGGAAAGGGCUAGCCGGCAGAUCGUCUCUGGCACUGCAUCAUUUAUUGUAUUGUACCUUCAGUACAAGGUUCCCUUCCUCUUAUAAGUGCUAGUAAAUUCUACUACUACUUCUGUCCAUACUCAUACUAGUGUCAUACUCAUAGUGUUAUAGUGUCCAUACCACUAGUUCCAAAAUAACUAAAUACCAAAACUCAAGAGCUUGCCUCCUGUUCUUCAGAGUUGUAGGCAGAAAAUGAUGAUAUUCUUUCCCGUAACAGGCAGAGAGAACCAGACAAUGAAAUUAGAAGUACAAGACAUUAAAAUGUGUUUAAAGUCAUCAGAGCAUUGUAAAAUUAUAGCUUCUGACUUUAGACUGUGUGACCUUUUUGAUGUCUGCUGAAAUGAGAACCAAUGUUACUGACUCUGAAAGCAACCGUGUGGCAUAAUGGGAAUUCUAUCUCCAGUACAGUUUACUUCUGGCUUCUUUUGCAAAUGAUCCUCAUAUGAAAAUAUCUACAAUUACAGUAGUUACUUUACAAGAAAAGCCUUUUGGACUGUAAAGAAUGGCCUUUGUCAGCUACUUGAGAAAAC
This 708-nucleotide long non-coding RNA is filed under the name Cyanistes caeruleus (blue tit). RNAcentral describes it as "lncRNA (ENSCCEG00000022472.1)". Lineage: Eukaryota; Metazoa; Chordata; Aves; Passeriformes; Paridae. The record is from RNAcentral.